Molecule: ribosomal RNA, 1522 nt
Filed under: Salmonella enterica subsp. enterica serovar Uganda
Lineage: Bacteria; Pseudomonadati; Pseudomonadota; Gammaproteobacteria; Enterobacterales; Enterobacteriaceae
Description: bacterial SSU rRNA
Rfam family: Bacterial small subunit ribosomal RNA
Source: RNAcentral
AGAGUUUGAUCAUGGCUCAGAUUGAACGCUGGCGGCAGGCCUAACACAUGCAAGUCGAACGGUAACAGGAAGCAGCUUGCUGCUUUGCUGACGAGUGGCGGACGGGUGAGUAAUGUCUGGGAAACUGCCUGAUGGAGGGGGAUAACUACUGGAAACGGUGGCUAAUACCGCAUAACGUCGCAAGACCAAAGAGGGGGACCUUCGGGCCUCUUGCCAUCAGAUGUGCCCAGAUGGGAUUAGCUAGUUGGUGAGGUAACGGCUCACCAAGGCGACGAUCCCUAGCUGGUCUGAGAGGAUGACCAGCCACACUGGAACUGAGACACGGUCCAGACUCCUACGGGAGGCAGCAGUGGGGAAUAUUGCACAAUGGGCGCAAGCCUGAUGCAGCCAUGCCGCGUGUAUGAAGAAGGCCUUCGGGUUGUAAAGUACUUUCAGCGGGGAGGAAGGUGUUGCGGUUAAUAACCGCAGCAAUUGACGUUACCCGCAGAAGAAGCACCGGCUAACUCCGUGCCAGCAGCCGCGGUAAUACGGAGGGUGCAAGCGUUAAUCGGAAUUACUGGGCGUAAAGCGCACGCAGGCGGUCUGUCAAGUCGGAUGUGAAAUCCCCGGGCUCAACCUGGGAACUGCAUUCGAAACUGGCAGGCUUGAGUCUUGUAGAGGGGGGUAGAAUUCCAGGUGUAGCGGUGAAAUGCGUAGAGAUCUGGAGGAAUACCGGUGGCGAAGGCGGCCCCCUGGACAAAGACUGACGCUCAGGUGCGAAAGCGUGGGGAGCAAACAGGAUUAGAUACCCUGGUAGUCCACGCCGUAAACGAUGUCUACUUGGAGGUUGUGCCCUUGAGGCGUGGCUUCCGGAGCUAACGCGUUAAGUAGACCGCCUGGGGAGUACGGCCGCAAGGUUAAAACUCAAAUGAAUUGACGGGGGCCCGCACAAGCGGUGGAGCAUGUGGUUUAAUUCGAUGCAACGCGAAGAACCUUACCUGGUCUUGACAUCCACGGAAGUUUUCAGAGAUGAGAAUGUGCCUUCGGGAACCGUGAGACAGGUGCUGCAUGGCUGUCGUCAGCUCGUGUUGUGAAAUGUUGGGUUAAGUCCCGCAACGAGCGCAACCCUUAUCCUUUGUUGCCAGCGGUCCGGCCGGGAACUCAAAGGAGACUGCCAGUGAUAAACUGGAGGAAGGUGGGGAUGACGUCAAGUCAUCAUGGCCCUUACGACCAGGGCUACACACGUGCUACAAUGGCGCAUACAAAGAGAAGCGACCUCGCGAGAGCAAGCGGACCUCAUAAAGUGCGUCGUAGUCCGGAUUGGAGUCUGCAACUCGACUCCAUGAAGUCGGAAUCGCUAGUAAUCGUGGAUCAGAAUGCCACGGUGAAUACGUUCCCGGGCCUUGUACACACCGCCCGUCACACCAUGGGAGUGGGUUGCAAAAGAAGUAGGUAGCUUAACCUUCGGGAGGGCGCUUACCACUUUGUGAUUCAUGACUGGGGUGAAGUCGUAACAAGGUAACCGUAGGGGAACCUGCGGUUG